Molecule: non-coding RNA, 31 nt
Filed under: Rattus norvegicus (Norway rat)
Lineage: Eukaryota; Metazoa; Chordata; Mammalia; Rodentia; Muridae
Source: RNAcentral
AGCAGCUAGAAUUUGCAGGACCUCUACUGGC